This 1126-nucleotide ribosomal RNA is filed under the name uncultured organism. Its description in RNAcentral is "bacterial SSU rRNA". It matches the Rfam family "Bacterial small subunit ribosomal RNA", at positions 61 to 1156 of the family's 1533-position model. The record is from RNAcentral.
GUCGAACGAGAAAGCACCUUCGGGUGUGAGUAAGGUGGCGCACGGGUGAGUAGCACGUGGGUAAUCUGUCCUUGGUGUCUGGGACAACACCUCGAAAGGGGUGCUAAUACCGGAUAAGACCACGGCCUGUUCGCAGGCUGCGGCUAAAGGUGGCCUCUCCAUGGAAGCUAUCGCCCGAGGAUGAGCCCGCGCCCCAUCAGCUUGUUGGUGAGGUAAGAGCUCACCAAGGCUUAGACGGGUAGCUGGUCUGAGAGGAUGGUCAGCCACACUGGAACUGAGACACGGUCCAGACUCCUACGGGAGGCAGCAGUGGGGAAUAUUGCGCAAUGGGCGGAAGCCUGACGCAGCGACGCCGCGUGAGCGAUGAAGGCCUUCGGGUCGUAAAGCUCUGUUGGAAGUGAACGAAAAAGUCCAUGGUUAAUAUCCAUGGACCCUGACGGUACUCUUCCAGAAAGCACCGGCUAACUCCGUGCCAGCAGCCGCGGUAAUACGGAGGGUGCUAGCGUUGUUCGGAAUCAUUGGGCGUAAAGCGCGGGUAGGCGGGGCGGCGUGUCGGAUGUGAAAGCCCUCGGCUCAACCGAGGAAUUGCAUCCGAAACUGUCGCUCUUGAGUACGGGAGAGGGAAGCGGAAUUUCCAGUGUAGAGGUGAAAUUCGUAGAUAUUGGAAGGAACACCGGUGGCGAAGGCGGCUUCCUGGACCGAUACUGACGCUGAGACGCGAAAGCGUGGGUAGCAAACAGGAUUAGAUACCCUGGUAGUCCACGCAGUAAACGAUGAGCACUAGGUGUUGCGGGUAUCGACCCCUGCAGUGCCGAAGCCAACGCAUUAAGUGCUCCGCCUGGGGACUACGGUCGCAAGACUAAAACUCAAAGGAAUUGACGGGGGCCCGCACAAGCGGUGGAGCAUGUGGUUCAAUUCGACGCAACGCGCAGAACCUUACCCGGGCUUGACAUCCUGGGAAUCCCCGAGGAAACCGGGGAGUGCCUGCUUUGCAGGAGCCCAGUGACAGGUGCUGCGUGGCUGUCGUCAGCUCGUGUCGUGAGAUGUUGGGUUAAGCCCCGCAACGAGCGCAACCCUCGUCCUUAGUUGCCAGCAUUCAGUUGGGCACUCUAAGGAGACUGCCGGU